AUACNUGCAAGUCGAGCGAAUCGAUGGGAGCUUGCUCCCUGAGAUUAGCGGCGGACGGGUGAGUAACACGUGGGCAACCUGCCUAUAAGACUGGGAUAACUUCGGGAAACCGGAGCUAAUACCGGAUACGUUCUUUUCUCGCAUGAGAGAAGAUGGAAAGACGGUUUCUGCUGUCACUUAUAGAUGGGCCCGCGGCGCAUUAACUAGUUGGGGAGGGAAUGGCUCACCAAGGGGACCAUGCGUAACCCACCUGAGAGGGUGAUCGGCCACCCUGGGACUGAAACACGGCCCAAACUCCUACGGGAGGCAGCAGUAGGGAAUCUUCCGCAAUGGACGAAAGUCUGACGGAACAACCCCCCGUGAACGAAAAAGGGCUUCCGGUCCUAAAGUUCUGUUGUUAGGGAAGAACAAGUACCCAGAAUAACUGCUGGUACCUUGACGGUACCUAACCAGAAAGCCACGGCUAACUACCUGCCAGCAGCCGCGGUAAUACGUAGGUGGCAAGCGUUGUCCGGAAUUAUUGGGCGUAAAGCGCGCGCAGGUGGUUCCUUAAGUCUGAUGUGAAAGCCCACGGCUCAACCGUGGAGGGUCAUUGGAAACUGGGGAACUUGAGUGCAGAAGAAGAAAGUGGAAUUCCAAGUGUAGCGGUGAAAUGCGUAGAGAUUUGGAGGAACACCAGUGGCGAAGGCGACUUUCUGGUCUGUAACUGACACUGAGGCGCGAAAGCGUGGGGAGCAAACAAGAUUAGAUACCCUGGUAGUCCACGCCGUAAACGAUGAGUGCUAAGUGUUAGAGGGUUUCCGCCCUUUAGUGCUGCAGCUAACGCAUUAAGCACUCCGCCUGGGGAGUACGGCCGCAAGGCUGAAACUCAAAGGAAUUGACGGGGGCCCGCACAAGCGGUGGAGCAUGUGGUUUAAUUCGAAGCAACGCGAAGAACCUUACCAGGUCUUGACAUCCUCUGACAACCCUAGAGAUAGGGCGUUCCCCUUCGGGGGACAGAGUGACAGGUGGUGCAUGGUUGUCGUCAGCUCGUGUCGUGAGAUGUUGGGUUAAGUCCCGCAACGAGCGCAACCCUUGAUCUUAGUUGCCAGCAUUUAGUUGGGCACUCUAAGGUGACUGCCGGUGACAAACCGGAGGAAGGUGGGGAUGACGUCAAAUCAUCAUGCCCCUUAUGACCUGGGCUACACACGUGCUACAAUGGAUGGUACAAAGGGCUGCAAACCUGCGAAGGUAAGCGAAUCCCAUAAAGCCAUUCUCAGUUCGGAUUGUAGGCUGCAACUCGCCUACAUGAAGCCGGAAUCGCUAGUAAUCGCGGAUCAGCAUGCCGCGGGUGAAUACGUUCCCGGGCCUUGUACACACCGCCCGUCACACCACGAGAGUUUGUAACACCCGAAGUCGGUGAGGUAACCUUUAUGGAGCCAGCCGCCUAANGUGGGACAGAUGAUUGGGGUG
RNAcentral lists this ribosomal RNA (1452 nucleotides) under Peribacillus simplex. Its description in RNAcentral is "bacterial SSU rRNA". It matches the Rfam family "Bacterial small subunit ribosomal RNA". Lineage: Bacteria; Bacillati; Bacillota; Bacilli; Caryophanales; Bacillaceae. The record is from RNAcentral.